GUUUCAUACAUUUUGCCGUCCGUCGCGGGCGUCCGCGUGGGUCGUCCGCGUCGCACUGAAAAGGCCCUAAUGAGUAUAAAAAUUCAAAUC
Maniola jurtina (meadow brown) is the source of this 90-nucleotide long non-coding RNA. RefSeq lists it as uncharacterized. The record is from RefSeq and is a predicted model, not a curated record. The transcript is spliced from 3 exons. NCBI's taxonomy places the organism in Eukaryota, Metazoa, Arthropoda, Insecta, Lepidoptera, Nymphalidae.